This 560-nucleotide long non-coding RNA is filed under the name Olea europaea (common olive). RNAcentral's name for it is "long non-coding RNA (OEUR_LNC011914)". Lineage: Eukaryota; Viridiplantae; Streptophyta; Magnoliopsida; Lamiales; Oleaceae. The record is from RNAcentral.
CAAGAUAUAAAACUGCCAAAUGUUGAAUUCCAGGGAGUCACACUGAAUGUUUUCUUUUAUCUUUUUUUGUACGAAUGGUGAAGCAGAGCCAAAGUUUUGAUGAGGGUGGCUAACUAAGAGGGAAAAAUGAAAACAUGUAACUCUUGAUUCUCACACUGAAGUUAAUAUUAUUUUCUAUGUGACUGGUGGGGGGUUUCUAAGAUUUGUAAAAUAUUAAAAGAUAUGUGUACAUACAAAUGCAAAGUGUCAGAAUGGAUCAUCAACUCAUUGUCCAUGAUGUAGCUUCCACUUUAAGAUAAAAGAUCAUAUCAAUGGAUCCAAAGCCACAGGUGUUCAUCUCCAGAACACACAGACAUCACUUAGCAUAACUUUGCCAACCACAGACUUCAAUCAACUUCGUCAAACGCCUGGAGCAAUGGAAGGCACAUCUUUCCUCCUUGCGGCCAACAAAUGUAUCUUUAGUUCAUGAAAUUAUUAUUUUGGUUCAUUGUGGUAUUCCCUAUCAUUUUAAAGGAAAAAUAAAACAAAAAAAUUGAAGGAAAAAACUUUAUGUUCAAAAC